This 530-nucleotide ribosomal RNA is filed under the name uncultured prokaryote. RNAcentral describes it as "bacterial SSU rRNA". It matches the Rfam family "Bacterial small subunit ribosomal RNA", at positions 355 to 896 of the family's 1533-position model. The record is from RNAcentral.
UGGGGAAUAUUGGGCAAUGGGCGCAAGCCUGACCCAGCGACGCCGCGUGAGGGAUGAAGGUCUUCGGAUUGUAAACCUCUUUCAGUGGGGAAGAAGCGAAAGUGACGGUACCCAAAGAAGAAGCACCGGCUAACUAUGUGCCAGCAGCCGCGGUAAUACAUAGGGUGCAAGCGUUGUCCGGAAUUAUUGGGCGUAAAGAGCUCGUAGGUGGUUUAUCACGUCGGAUGUGAAAUUCUGAGGCUCAACCUCGGACCUGCAUUCGAUACGGGCAAACUAGAGUGUGGUAGGGGAGACUGGAAUUCCUGGUGUAGCGGUGGAAUGCGCAGAUAUCAGGAGGAACACCGAUGGCGAAGGCAGGUCUCUGGGCCAAUACUGACACUGAGGAGCGAAAGCGUGGGGAGCGAACAGGAUUAGAUACCCUGGUAGUCCACGCCGUAAACGGUGGGCGCUAGUUGUGCGAACCUUCCACGGUUUGUGCGACGCAGCUAACGCAUUAAGCGCCCCGCCUGGGGAGUACGAUCGCAAGAUUA